GGUCUGGUGGCGAGUGGCGAACGGGUGAGUAAUGCAUCGGAACGUGCCCAACUGUGGGGGACAGCUCGGCGAAAGCCGGAUUAAUACCGCAUACGAUCCACGGAUGAAAGCGGGGGACCUUCGGGCCUCGUGCAGUUGGAGCGGCUGAUGUUAGAUUAGGUAGUUGGUGGGGUAAAGGCUCACCAAGCCGACGAUCUAUAGCUGGUCUGAGAGGACGACCAGCCACACUGGGACUGAGACACGGCCCAGACUCCUACGGGAGGCAGCAGUGGGGAAUUUUGGACAAUGGGCGCAAGCCUGAUCCAGCAAUACCGCGUGCAGGAAGAAGGCCUUCGGGUUGUAAACUGCUUUUGUACGGAACGAAAAGGUCUGGGUUAAUACCCUGGGCUCAUGACGGUACCGUAUGAAUAAGCACCGGCUAACUACGUGCCAGCAGCCGCGGUACUACGUAGGGUGCAAGCGUUAAUCGGAAUUACUGGGCGUAAAGCGUGCGCAGGCGGUUAUGUAAGACAGGCGUGUAAUCCCCGGGCUCAACCUGGGAACUGCCUUUGUGACUGCAUAGCUAGAGUACGGUAGAGGGGGAUGGAAUUCCGCGUGUAGCAGUGAAAUGCGUAGAUAUGCGGAGGAACACCGAUGGCGAAGGCAAUCCCCUGGACCUGUACUGACGCUCGUGCACGAAAGCGUGGGGAGCAAACAGGAU
Molecule: ribosomal RNA, 700 nt
Filed under: uncultured beta proteobacterium
Lineage: Bacteria; Pseudomonadati; Pseudomonadota; Betaproteobacteria
Description: bacterial SSU rRNA
Rfam family: Bacterial small subunit ribosomal RNA
Source: RNAcentral